This 253-nucleotide ribosomal RNA is filed under the name uncultured bacterium. RNAcentral describes it as "partial 16S ribosomal RNA". It matches the Rfam family "Bacterial small subunit ribosomal RNA", at positions 524 to 776 of the family's 1533-position model. The record is from RNAcentral.
UACGUAGGGGGCCAGCGUUGCUCGGAAUUACUGGGCGUAAAGGGUUCGUAGGUGGUGCGGCAAGUUGGGAGUGAAAUCUCUGGGCUUAACCCAGAGGCUGCUUUCAAAACUGCCGCGCUCGAGUGCGAGAGAGGUCAGUGGAAUUCCACGUGUAGCGGUGAAAUGCGUAGAUAUGUGGAAGAACACCUGUGGCGAAAGCGGUUUUCUAGCUUACCCCUGACGCUGAGGCACGAAAGCAAGGGGAGCAAACAGG